RNAcentral lists this unclassified non-coding RNA (240 nucleotides) under soil metagenome. RNAcentral's name for it is "partial contains 5.8S ribosomal RNA, internal transcribed spacer 2, and large subunit ribosomal RNA". The record is from RNAcentral.
AACCAUUCUCACCUGCGGCUAGACCUGCGGAAGGAUCAUUAAAAAGAGUGUGUACCCCUCUGUAAAAUGAGUGGGUUACCUCCCGUCCUUUGUUGACCUCUUAGGAGGUUAUUUUGAACUUUCUGCUUCGGUGGGGUUAAACCUACCGGAACACCCUCAAAUUCUCAUCAUUUAAAAAUUGUUCAGUCUGAUUUUUGUUAAUAAAAACAAAAAACUUUUAACAACGGAUCUCAGAUCGGA